This 604-nucleotide ribosomal RNA is filed under the name uncultured Alphaproteobacteria bacterium. Its description in RNAcentral is "bacterial SSU rRNA". It matches the Rfam family "Bacterial small subunit ribosomal RNA", at positions 87 to 725 of the family's 1533-position model. The record is from RNAcentral. Lineage: Bacteria; Pseudomonadati; Pseudomonadota; Alphaproteobacteria.
UGUGGAAAGUGGCAGACGGGUGAGUAACGCGUGGGAACCUACCUAGUAGUACGGAACAACAGUUGGGAAACGACUGCUAAUGCUGUAUACGCCCUCCGGGGGAAAGAUUUAUCGCUAUUAGAUGGGCCCGCGUUGGAUUAGCUUGUUGGUGAGGUAACGGCUCACCAAGGCGACGAUCCAUAGCUGGUCUGAGAGGAUGAUCAGCCACACUGGGACUUAGACACGGCCCAGACUCCUACGGGAGGCAGCAGUGGGGAAUAUUGCACAAUGGGCGCAAGCCUGAUGCAGCCAUGCCGCGUGAGUGAAGAAGGCCCUAGGGUUGUAAAGCUCUUUCGGCGGGGACGAUAAUGACGGUACCCGCAGAAGAAGCCCCGGCUAACUCCGUGCCAGCAGCCGCGGUAAUACGGAGGGGGCUAGCGUUGUUCGGAAUUACUGGGCGUAAAGCGCGCGUAGGCGGAUCUUUAAGUCAGGGGUGAAAUCCCGGGGCUCAACCUCGGAACUGCCCUUGAUACUGGAGAUCUCGAGUCCGGAAGAGGUUAGUGGAAUUCCCAGUGUAGAGGUGAAAUUCGUAGAUAUUGGGAAGAACACCAGUGGCGAAGGCGGC